Molecule: long non-coding RNA, 1866 nt
Organism: Xenopus tropicalis (tropical clawed frog)
Lineage: Eukaryota; Metazoa; Chordata; Amphibia; Anura; Pipidae
Exons: 3
Source: RefSeq, a predicted model, not a curated record
CUUAUCCAGAAAACCCCAGGUCCCAGACAUUCUGGAUAACAGGUCCCAUACCUGUAAUAUAAAAUAAAGACUAACAAGUUCCUAUGUAUUCCUGGUUUCAUUAUUAGGCAGCAAUUCCACAUUGGUUAAAGCUGAACUUUUAAUAAAUGUGGUUAUGAGAUUUCUGCUUUCUCAUUAGUAAUGUCUCAGAUAACAGAAUGCGCUUUCAGUAUGAUGUAAGGAACCAUAGUCUCAGCCUGCCAUCCUUUUCCUUUAUCGUUAGUGAUUUGCUCCUUUUUCUAACCCAAAAUAUAAAAUUCUCCAUGGUUGUCGGGGUCAGUGAAACCCAGGAAACAGAUACAUUCUGGAUAAAGAUAUUUAUAGAUAUUUUUGAUUACUUAUAGGGGCAAUUUACCUUUAAAUAUUUAUUGUAGUGUUAAAAGAGUUGUAUUCUGAAAUAAAUUGCAAAUAAACUAGUUAUCUUUCAAUGCUGCCUCUCUCACUGUGGUUGCUGGGACACUGACCUGGGUAUCUUGGGGCUACAUUUUUAUAGGUAUUAUUGUUUUAUAUUAUUACUUAUGUUUCUCUUAUUUAUCUUCCAGGCUGCCAUUCAAAUGACUGCCCGGUUGCUAGGACAAUUCCAAGUUAUUACGUUGCUGCUAUGUGUCGUCCAGUAAAUCACAGCAACACAUCUCUAUGUGCUGUAUAAUUCAGGCCUGUCCCAACUUCAGCUUUUUUUUGAUUGAUGAGGAGAACUGACAGAAUAUGCGCACUCAGAGCCCUACCAAAUGCACAUAAGGAGGUCUGCCCUAUGCAACCCAGCUGGCCACCGCGCCCCCCCCUCCGCACAUGCAUGCACACACAGGGGGGAGCGCUGGGAAAUCAGCUGUAGGGGUAAGCGAUCCCAGACUAGGGGUUGGCAACAGAAGUACCUGCAUUGCGCCCCCUCACUGUUGCGCCCUAGGCAGGUGCCUCUUCUGCCUACCCCUAGUUCUGGCCCUGAGUUGAAGCUUCACAGUUCACAAAGGAGAAAAAAAGUCAGUCACUGGCGAAUUCCAAACGUUGGGCAUCCCCCCAUUUACCUCACUUACCUGAUACCCCAGGCCAGUGCUUCUGUUAGCAUUAAACUGUCCCAGCCGGGGUUAUUCCAGUGAGCACUAUAGAGAGAUUCCCUUCAUGCAUCUCCUUUAUUCACCCGGGUGCACGUGUGCAAAGCCAAACUAAAUAGCUGACUUUUUCACUGUACUGCUCAAAAGAAGCAGAAGAAAAGGAUUGCCGGAACUAGGGGUAGGCAGAGGAGGCACGUGCCUAGGGCACAAUGGCCAGGGGCACCAGGCACACAGCUCUUUCAGCCAUCCCUAGUCUGGACCCACCCAUGUCCCCCUCACUGCCUGUCUUCAUUUUCUUCCCCCUAUCUUCAGAGUGGCCGUGUACGUACAUCCGCGCACACCUGCUUAUGUGCAGACGCGUGGAGUGGUGGGCAUGGUGGGUAGCUGUGUUGCCUAGGGCACCAGCCCAACUUGCUUGCUACAAAGGACUCCGGACCAAUGUAGCUAACUGCUGCACGGGAACACCAGCCCAGGGUAUUAGGCAAGUGAAUACAAUCAUUGAGGGGUGUUUAACUUUUAGCACCCAUGAGUGAUAGUGACUUUCCUUCUCCUUUAAUAUAUUGUUUUAUUGCGGGGGGUCAGUAACCCCGACAGCCGGAUAGCUUUUUUCAACUUCAAACCAGGAACAGGCAAAAGGAAAACUAGAUAUUUCCCCUUUAAUUUAAUUGUAGUUGGUUUAGCCCUGCAACUUGCUUUUAGAAGUGUCCUUGAGUGGUUUCUUAUACUUGCCAGCGUUUGUGGUAGUUUAAUCUUAAAAGUCACUGAGAAUGCUGAACCA